GCCUUCGUGGUAUAGUGGUCAGCACGCUCGACGCGUAACCGGGAGAACCGUGGUUCGAUUCCCGGCGAAGGCG
Non-coding RNA from Stegodyphus mimosarum, 73 nucleotides. The record is from Rfam. NCBI's taxonomy places the organism in Eukaryota, Metazoa, Arthropoda, Arachnida, Araneae, Eresidae.